Molecule: transfer RNA, 56 nt
Filed under: Bos taurus (domestic cattle)
Lineage: Eukaryota; Metazoa; Chordata; Mammalia; Artiodactyla; Bovidae
Also listed under: 2 other names
Rfam family: tRNA
About the family: Transfer RNA (tRNA) molecules are approximately 80 nucleotides in length. Their secondary structure includes four short double-helical elements and three loops (D, anti-codon, and T loops).
Source: Rfam by way of RNAcentral
UGGCUCAGAUGGUAAAGCGUCUGCCUACAAUGCGGAAGGCCAGGGUUCAAUCCCUG